GAUGAACGCUGGCGGCAUGCCUAACACAUGCAAGUCGGACGGGCAGUGGUGUUUCUUGUGGCGGACGGGUGAGUAACGCGUAAGAACCUGACAUUGGGAGGGGCACAAUAGCUGGAAACGGCUGCUAAUACACCGUAGGCUGAGGAGCAAAAGGAGGAAUCCGCCUGAGGAGGGGCUCGCGUCUGAUUAGCUAGCUGGUGAGGCAAUAGCUUACCAAGGCGAUGAUCAGUAGCUGGUCCGAGAGGAUGAUCAGCCACACUGGGACUGAGACACGGCCCAGACUACUACGGGAGGCAGCAGUGGGCAAGUCGCCGCAAUGGGCGAAAGCCUGACAGGGCAAUGCCGCGUGAAGGUAGAAUGCCUACGGGUCGUGAACUUCUUUUCCCGGAGAAGAAGCAAUGACGGUAUCUAGUGAAUAAGCAACGGCUAACUCUGUG
This 437-nucleotide ribosomal RNA is filed under the name uncultured bacterium. RNAcentral describes it as "partial 16S ribosomal RNA". It matches the Rfam family "Bacterial small subunit ribosomal RNA", at positions 28 to 507 of the family's 1533-position model. The record is from RNAcentral.